This 466-nucleotide ribosomal RNA is filed under the name uncultured bacterium. RNAcentral describes it as "partial 16S ribosomal RNA". It matches the Rfam family "Bacterial small subunit ribosomal RNA", at positions 339 to 795 of the family's 1533-position model. The record is from RNAcentral.
CUACGGGGUGCAGCAGUCGAGAAUAGUCUAUAAUGGGGGAAACCCUGAUAGUGCGACGCCGCGUGGAUGAAGAAGCAUUUCGGUGUGUAAAAUCCUUUUCUGUGUGAGCAAUGCCUUUUAAAUUAAUAGUUUGGAAGGAGAGAUAUUAGCACAGGAAUAAGCUCCGGCUAACUCCGUGCCAGCAGCCGCGGUAACACGGGGGGAGCAAGCGUUGUCCGGAAUCACUAGGCGUAAAGGGCAAGUAGGCGGAAUUAUAAGUCAGUUGUUAAAGGCAUCGGCUCAACCGGUGUAUGGCAUUUGAUACUGUAAUUCUAGAGUAAGGUGGGGGAAGACGGAAUUCCUGGUGUAGCGGUGGAAUGCGCAGAUAUCAGGAAGAACACCGGUGGCGAAGGCGGUCUUCUAUACCAUUACUGACGCUCAAUUGCGAAGGUGUGGGUAUCGAACAGGAUUAGAUACCCCCGUAGUC